GACACGGCCGCCUUCGGUCCUUACGGCAGUCAGCGCAUCGGCUGCCACUGGGCGAGCAGCUCGCACGGGCUGCAGAUGGGGUCUGAGUCACAGGUUUCCCUGACUCCAAAAACCCACGUCCUGUCUACACCCCGGGAGGCCCAUCAGUGGAAAGGGGGCCGCUCUGGAAGGCACCCACGGCUGAGCCUCCUGGGUUUGCGGCCCCGGCCCCCGCGAGGCGGGAGCGGAGGGGUGGGCUUCAGUGCCAGGGGCUGUAUCCAGGGAUGGGAAGGCAUUUGGGGAAACUGAGGCUCUGGUCCCAAGCGUAUUCCCACCUGUUCAGAUGUUUGAGGUUAAUUAAAGGACAGCGAUCGCCACGUGGAAUUUUUACCCAUGGUUGCUGAAUCGGCAACAAUCUGUGCCAAGGCGACUGCCGGGUCCGGACAGAACCGGCGGCUUCUGCUCGCGUUUUUGCAGCGAGGGAAGAGGAUUACGGCCGACCGAGUAGACCGCGAGCUUCAGGCCUGGAGCGGAGACCGGAGAGUUCCUGGUCUAGCAUUACAGUCUGGCCCCGGGGAACCACCGGGUUCCUAUAAAAGUGUACCAGGUCCCCCUUGUGCAGAAGACCCCGGCCACGACAAGACCAGACACCCCGUCUGGGCGGGAACCCAC
Molecule: long non-coding RNA, 651 nt
Filed under: Microcebus murinus (gray mouse lemur)
Lineage: Eukaryota; Metazoa; Chordata; Mammalia; Primates; Cheirogaleidae
Description: lncRNA (ENSMICG00000048778.1)
Source: RNAcentral